Molecule: ribosomal RNA, 697 nt
Filed under: uncultured bacterium
Lineage: Bacteria
Description: bacterial SSU rRNA
Rfam family: Bacterial small subunit ribosomal RNA
Source: RNAcentral
AGUGGCGGACGGGUGAGUAACACGUGAGAAUUUGCCUUUAGGAGGGGGAUAACAAUCGGAAACGAAUGCUAAUACCCCAUAUGCUUUUGAGUGAAAUGGAUUUAUCCGCCUAAAGAGAAGCUCGCGGCUGAUUAGCUUGUUGGUGGGGUAAGAGCUUACCAAGGCGACGAUCAGUAUCUGGUUUGAGAGGACGAUCAGACACACUGGAACUGAGACACGGUCCAGACUCCUACGGGAGGCAGCAGUGGGGAAUUUUCCGCAAUGGGCGAAAGCCUGACGGAGCAAUACCGCGUGAGGGAAGACUGCCUAUGGGUUGUAAACCUCUUUUUUCAGGGAGGAACAAAAUGACGUGUACCUGAAGAAUAAGCAUCGGCUAACUCCGUGCCAGCAGCCGCGGUAAGACGGAGGAUGCAAGUGUUAUCCGGAAUCACUGGGCGUAAAGCGUCUGUAGGUGGUUUAAUAAGUCAACUGUUAAAUCUUGAGGCUCAACUUCAAAAUCGCAGUCGAAACUAUUAGACUAGAGUAUAGUAGAGGUAAAGGGAAUUUCCAGUGGAGCGGUGAAAUGCGUAGAUAUUGGAAAGAACACCGAUGGCGAAAGCACUUUACUGGGCUAUUACUAACACUCAGAGACGAAAGCUAGGGUAGCAAAUGGGAUUAGAUACCCCAGUAGUCCUAGCCGUAAACUAUGGAUACUAGA